AGAGUUUGAUCCUGGCUCAGGACGAACGCUGGCGGCGUGCUUAACACAUGCAAGUCGAGCGGUAAGGCCCCUUCGGGGGUACACGAGCGGCGAACGGGUGAGUAACACGUGAGCAACCUACCCUCAACUUCGGGAUAAGCCUCGGAAACGGGGUCUAAUACCGGAUAUCAUCACAGGCUUCAUGGUUUGUGGUUGAAAGUUCUGGCGGUUGGGGAUGGGCUCGCGGCCUAUCAGCUUGUUGGUGGGGUAAUGGCCUACCAAGGCGUCGACGGGUAGCCGGCCUGAGAGGGCGACCGGCCACACUGGGACUGAGACACGGCCCAGACUCCUACGGGAGGCAGCAGUGGGGAAUAUUGCGCAAUGGACGAAAGUCUGACGCAGCAACGCCGCGUGAGGGAUGACGGCCUUCGGGUUGUAAACCUCUUUCAGCAGGGACGAAGCGAGAAUGACG
RNAcentral lists this ribosomal RNA (451 nucleotides) under uncultured Kribbella sp. RNAcentral's name for it is "bacterial SSU rRNA". It matches the Rfam family "Bacterial small subunit ribosomal RNA", at positions 8 to 474 of the family's 1533-position model. Lineage: Bacteria; Bacillati; Actinomycetota; Actinomycetes; Propionibacteriales; Kribbellaceae. The record is from RNAcentral.